AAGAUUUUAAAAUAAAUUUUUUUUUUUAAAUUUUAAUUGUAAUAAGCAUAGCUUAUUUAAUUUGCUACAUUAAGAUGAUUGGAGUCUUCUGAUGUAUUGUAUUUUUACUUGGACUACUCGUGCAGCCUUGAAUUCAUUUUAAAUUAUGCAGUAAUUUUCAAGUAAAAUAUAACUUACGGUAAUUCAUGUUUUUGUAUUGUAUAUUAUAGUGACUAGGAUGCCUGACAUUGCCUGGGAAUUUCUGGCACAUAAUACAAUUUACAUACGUAGACUGUUACAUCAUCGUAAUGUCAGACAUCCUAGUUAUUUUAUUAUAAAUAUAAUUAUAAUUAAUUUAUUUAUUAUGCUGUUUAGAUAUUUAUCCAUUAGCUGUUUAUAUCCAAUUUUAAUAUCGAAGAUUUAUAUACUAUCUGCCUUUUUUAUUCUGCAUAAAAAAACAUUAAAUCAAUUUUAACAAUUUGAACUUUUUUAUUUUAUCAUAACAUGAUAUCACAAUGAUGCCACUGUUGUUGCAGAAUGAUGUCAACAAGAUAUUGUAACGAUAUCAUAUGCCAGUGAUAUUUGUUGUUGCGUUUGUAAUAUUUUUGACACAUCAUCAACACGAACUUUAGUGUGCCAGGAAGUGAUGAUAACAUUUGUGAUAUUAUCGUUGUUACAUUAUGUUGAUGUGAUGCUGUCGUCAUCUUUUGAAUCCUAUGACCAAUUAUCAGAAUUAUUUUCCCAACGAUGGGGUUGCAUUUUUGAUAUCAUCUUUGGUGAUAAAUGCUCAUUCAAAAAUUCUUACUGUGAACUUUAAUAAUAUAUCCAACAUUAAAUCUUCCUAGUAAUUAGUCAUUUUCAAUGCGUUUUGCUUAAUUCGAUAUUUGUUCCACUAAUUUCAAGCUAAUAUAUUGAAUUUUUUCUAGGGAGUCUUAUCUUAAAGAACUGUCGGCAUGAAAAUUUCAGAUUUCUAGAUCACUUAAAAAAGCUAACUAAACACACUGUGUUUCUUCAUUAUAAUAGAGAAUCAAAGCCCAUUGAACACAGUACAAACAAUUUGUUUCAUAGUGGAACGUUUUCG
Molecule: long non-coding RNA, 1060 nt
Filed under: Androctonus crassicauda
Lineage: Eukaryota; Metazoa; Arthropoda; Arachnida; Scorpiones; Buthidae
Source: RNAcentral